RNAcentral lists this ribosomal RNA (108 nucleotides) under Pluralibacter gergoviae. RNAcentral describes it as "partial 23S ribosomal RNA". It matches the Rfam family "Bacterial large subunit ribosomal RNA", at positions 2818 to 2925 of the family's 2925-position model. The record is from RNAcentral. Lineage: Bacteria; Pseudomonadati; Pseudomonadota; Gammaproteobacteria; Enterobacterales; Enterobacteriaceae.
CAGAGUCUCCUGAAGGAACGUUAAAGACGAUGACGUUGAUAGGCCGGGUGUGUAAGCGCAGCGAUGCGUUGAGCUAACCGGUACUAAUGAACCGUGAGGCUUAACCUU